UGUUUUAAUAGUUUAAACCAGAACUUUGGUCUUGUAAAUCAAAAGUGAAUUAUUACAAUUCUUAAAGCAUC
This 71-nucleotide transfer RNA is filed under the name Neogonodactylus oerstedii. RNAcentral's name for it is "tRNA-Thr". It matches the Rfam family "tRNA". Rfam says of the family: Transfer RNA (tRNA) molecules are approximately 80 nucleotides in length. Their secondary structure includes four short double-helical elements and three loops (D, anti-codon, and T loops). The record is from RNAcentral. Lineage: Eukaryota; Metazoa; Arthropoda; Malacostraca; Stomatopoda; Gonodactylidae.